RNAcentral lists this long non-coding RNA (222 nucleotides) under Salvia miltiorrhiza (redroot sage). Its description in RNAcentral is "long non-coding RNA (SMIL_LNC014164)". Lineage: Eukaryota; Viridiplantae; Streptophyta; Magnoliopsida; Lamiales; Lamiaceae. The record is from RNAcentral.
UAAAAAUGCCUUUUUCCUUUUAAGGAAUAUAACGCGUAUACAAGUUCUUUGAGUACCCUUUUAUUGCGAACUAUGCCUUUUUCCUUUUUAAGGAAUAUUUCACGCGUAUUCAAGCUCUUUGAGUAUUCUUUUAUGCACCCCUUUCUAAACCCGCUUCUUAAUUUCCCUUCCCCAGUCAUGGUUUCCCGACUUAAUUAUCCCUAAUUAAGGCCGGUCGUGACA